RNAcentral lists this ribosomal RNA (220 nucleotides) under uncultured bacterium. RNAcentral describes it as "partial 16S ribosomal RNA". It matches the Rfam family "Bacterial small subunit ribosomal RNA", at positions 524 to 744 of the family's 1533-position model. The record is from RNAcentral.
UACGUAGGGUGCGAGCGUUAAUCGGAAUUACUGGGCGUAAAGCGUGCGCAGGCGGUGAUGUAAGACAGAUGUGAAAUCCCCGGGCUCAACCUGGGACCUGCAUUUGUGACUGCAUCGCUAGAGUACGGCAGAGGGGAUGGAAUUCCGCGUGUAGCAGUGAAAUGCGUAGAUAUGCGGAGGAACACCGAUGGCGAAGGCAAUCCCCUGGGCCUGUACUGAC